RNAcentral lists this ribosomal RNA (492 nucleotides) under uncultured bacterium. RNAcentral's name for it is "partial 16S ribosomal RNA". It matches the Rfam family "Bacterial small subunit ribosomal RNA", at positions 29 to 507 of the family's 1533-position model. The record is from RNAcentral.
AGUGAACGCUGGCGGUAGGCCUAACACAUGCAAGUCGAACGGCAGCACAGUAAGUGCUUGCUCUUACGGGUGGCGAGUGGCGGACGGGUGAGGAAUACAGCGGAAUCUACUUUUUCGUGGGGGCUAACGUGGGGAAACGUAAGAUAAUACCGCAUACGACCCACGGGUGAAAGCAGGGGAUCUUCUGAGCUUGCGCGACUGAAGGAGUCGAUGUCGGAUUCGCUAGGUGGUGGGGGAAUGGCGGAAUAAGGCGACGCUACGGCGAGGGUCUGAGAGGGUGAACAGACACCCUGGAACUGAGACAGGGCCCAGACACCUACGCGAGGCCGCAGUGGGGAAUAUUGGACAAAGGGCGAAAGCCUGAUCCAGCCCUACCGCGUGGGUGAAGAAGGCCUUCCGGUUGUAAAGCCCUUUUGUUUGGAAAGAAAAGCAGCAGGUUAAUCCCCCGCUGUUCUGACGGUACCCAACGAAUAAGCCCCGGCUAACUUCGUG